GCGGCCUAUCAGCUUGUUGGUGAGGUAACGGCUCACCAAGGCAACGACGGGUAGCUGGUCUGAGAGGAUGUCCAGCCACACUGGGACUGAGACACGGCCCAGACUCCUACGGGAGGCAGCAGUUAGGAAUCUUGCGCAAUGGACGAAAGUCUGACGCAGCGACGCCGCGUGCGGGAUGAAUGCCUUCGGGUUGUAAACCGCUUUCAGCAGGGAUGAAAUUGACGGUACCUGCAGAAGAAGCCCCGACCAACUACGUGCCAGCAGCCGCGGUAAUACGUAGGGGGCAAGCGUUGUCCGGAUUUAUUGGGCGUAAAGAGCUCGUAGGUGGUUCGGUAAGUCGGAUGUGAAAUCUCCAGGCUCAACCUGGAGGGGUCAUUCGAUACUGCCGUGACUAGAGGUCGGUAGGGGAGUGUGGAAUUCCUGGUGGAGCGGUGAAAUGCGCAGAUAUCAGGAGGAACACCCGUAGCGAAGGCGGCACUCUGGGCCGAUACUGCCACUGAGGAGCGAAAGCGUGGGGAGCGAACAGGAUUAGAUACCCUGGUAGUCCACGCCGUAAACGUUGGGCACUAGGUGUGGGACUCUAUCGACGGGUUCCGUGCCGUAGCUAACGCAUUAAGUGCCCCGCCUGGGGAGUACGG
Molecule: ribosomal RNA, 638 nt
Filed under: uncultured bacterium
Lineage: Bacteria
Description: bacterial SSU rRNA
Rfam family: Bacterial small subunit ribosomal RNA
Source: RNAcentral